GUUUCUAGUGGCGGACGGGUGAGUAACGCGUGGGUAACCUGCCUUAUACAGGGGGAUAACAACCAGAAAUGGUUGCUAAUACCGCAUAAGCGCACAGGACCGCAUGGUCCGGUGUGAAAAACUCCGGUGGUAUAAGAUGGACCCGCGUUGGAUUAGCUAGUUGGUGAGGUAACGGCCCACCAAGGCGACGAUGCAUAGCCGGCCUGAGAGGGCGGACGGCCACAUUGGGACUGAGACACGGCCCAAACUCCUACGGGAGGCAGCAUG
Molecule: ribosomal RNA, 267 nt
Filed under: uncultured bacterium
Lineage: Bacteria
Description: partial 16S ribosomal RNA
Rfam family: Bacterial small subunit ribosomal RNA
Source: RNAcentral